RNAcentral lists this long non-coding RNA (903 nucleotides) under Vulpes vulpes (red fox). Its description in RNAcentral is "lncRNA (ENSVVUG00000022694.1)". The record is from RNAcentral. Lineage: Eukaryota; Metazoa; Chordata; Mammalia; Carnivora; Canidae.
CAAUAGUGAGUUCUGAAGCUGCUUGAUGUCUAUAUAGAAAUAGCAUACAUAACAGGUAGAAUUAGAGAUCAUAGGGAUAAGACUAUUGAAUAAAUGUCACUGAGACAAUUAAUUAUGCAGAUGUAAAAUUUAGAUCCCUAUCUGUCUACACUAAUACCAAUUACUUGAAAGAGUAAAUAUAACAAGGCUUGGGAAAUAUAGGUAACAUACACUAGAAUAGGAAGAUCAAAGAAAGCGGUCAUCCUCUGACACAUGGUGGCCACUCUCUUCAUUGUUCAGCUAUCAUCAAGGUAAGUCACAAAAAUAAAUAAAGACCCAAUAACCUUAAAAAGAGGAAUAUGGGUAUUAAAAAAGGGAAACCUUAAAUAGAAACUGAAGAAAAAUUUUAUACCAAAUAAAAUUGAUUUUUUUAAAAAGAUUUAUUUAUUUAUUCAUUCAGAGAGAGUGAGAGAGAGGCAGAGACACAGGCAGAGGGAGAAGCAGGCUCCACGCAGGAAGCCACACGUGGGACUCGAUCCCGGGUCUCCAGGAUCACACCCCGGGCUGCAGGCGGCGCCAAACCGCUGCGCCACAGGGGCUGCCAUAAAAUUGAUUUAAAUGAGAAAGACCAGAGACUAAAAUUUGGAAAAUUAUAAGACUAAGCAUUUAAUAAGUUAGAACAAAACAUUAUUAAAGAAAAGAAACUUUAGUACAUUUGUUGACUUUGAAUCUCUAAAGUUUCAAGAUUAUUUUCGUGUACCAAUGACGCCAUACUCAGAAAACUUUUCCAGCAUGCUAAACAUAAUUUGGAGUCUACCACUCAUGUUCUACAGAUCACCCCCUAUCCCCACAAUUGAAAUCUUGAUGAUGGAGAGUUGCUAUCUAAUAGGUAAAAGAUAUUCUGUCUGGAUUCCUGAAACUUAA